Molecule: ribosomal RNA, 79 nt
Filed under: Clostridia bacterium
Lineage: Bacteria; Bacillati; Bacillota; Clostridia
Source: RNAcentral
ACCGAACACAGAAGUUAAGCCUUUCAGCGCCGAUGGUACUUGGCUGGAGACGGCCCGGGAGAGUAGGUCGUUGCCGGAU